This 3080-nucleotide unclassified non-coding RNA is filed under the name Polistes fuscatus (common paper wasp). Its description in RNAcentral is "segment polarity protein dishevelled homolog DVL-3, transcript variant X2". Lineage: Eukaryota; Metazoa; Arthropoda; Insecta; Hymenoptera; Vespidae. The record is from RNAcentral.
AAAAACAAGUUCUUAUCUCGAAUAUGAAACAUUCAACGCGCACAAUCAAUCACGGAUAUGUAUCGUAAUGAAAUAACAUGAAGGUGUAUUAGCGGGCGCAGUACCGAUUGCAACACUAAAUUCCCUACGCAAUUAGAAUAUGUUUUAUCGAUUAGUAACAAAAUUUCACUACUUCGAUACGUAGCGUAUGGAAGAGAAUAAAGCUUCUAUCUUAGAUUUUAAUGAAUAUAACGUAAGUCAACGUUGAAACGUCGAUAAUAGAUAAUAAAAAAAGCAUUAAACGUUAGUUUCCGUUCUUAUCUUGUUUCUUUGGGCACGAUUGCAGCACCAUCGGCGGAUUUUCUUAGGUGAUAGAAGCGAAGUGGGGGCGCGAUGGAAGGUUCGCUGUAGUGAUUACGUCGGCAGGAGUGUUGACGUUUAUUUGAAGGAUACGGAAGCUAUGAAUAGUCAAAAAGAAAUAAUUAGUGGAAUAAUAAGGAAUAGAUUUUAGUGACUUAUUUGCAUAUUGGAAUGCUUUAACAAAGGGUGCUUGGUGUGUCUAUUUAAUGACUAUAUGCUACUAUUAAACUCGAUGCGCGUGAGGGCUUUGGCUCUAACUGCAACGCGCCAUAUUGGUUUAAGACAAUUGCUCGUGUUAGUGGGGGCCUGACUGAUACAACUUUUCUAUCAAAUCAACGUAGAAUUAUUUAUUUCACAAUCAUGGAGGAAACCAAAAUAAUUUACCAUAUUGACGACGAAGAGACACCUUAUUUAGUCAAACUGACUAUUUCGCCGGAGAGGGUGACUUUGGCAGAUUUUAAAAAUGUCCUCAACCGACCGAAUUACAAGUAUUUCUUCAAAUCAAUGGACGAUGACUUCGGGGUUGUAAAAGAGGAGAUUGUGGACGACGAUGCACAUCUUCCAUGCUUCAAUGGACGAGUAGUCUCAUGGUUGGUUUCCGCUGAAGGCAGUAAUGUAUCGGAUGGUGUUUCACAUUGCACUGAUUCUGUAGCGCAUAGUGAAGUGAAGCACGAUCGUAUUGAUCAUGUAACACCAGGGCAUACAAAUCGUGGUCCACCACCGCUUUCGCACGAUGAUACCUUAACAGAAACUGAAAGUAUUAUAAGUAGCCGACAAGGUCAUCAUUUACAUAAAAGUUCAAGACAUCAUACAGACAAAUAUGAAAAAUAUAACAAAUACAAUGGAUUGCGAAUAAAUGGUCAUUCUAAGCAUCGUUCUGGUCAUGGCUAUGAAACUGCCUCAAUAUUGAGCUCGGAUCUAGAAACGACAACAUUUUUAGAAUCGGAUGAUGAUGCGAGUAGUCGUAUUACAUCGACAACAGGUCGUCAUACUAAUAUGAGUAGCGCAGUUGACAGAGCAACUUUAGAUCGACGUAGACCUCAAAGAAGAAGAAGACACAGAUUACCUCCUAUGUCUCGAACAUCUUCAUUUAGCAGUAUCACAGAUAGCACAAUGUCUUUGAAUAUCAUAACAGUCUCAUUAAAUAUGGAUACUGUAAAUUUCCUUGGAAUAAGUAUCGUUGGUCAAAGUAAUAAAGGUGGAGAUGGAGGAAUUUAUGUUGGAUCUAUAAUGAAAGGGGGAGCUGUAGCCUUAGAUGGUCGAAUAGAACCCGGUGACAUGAUUCUUCAAGUUAAUGACAUUAAUUUUGAGAACAUGUCUAAUGAUGAGGCGGUAAGAGUUCUACGUGAAGUCGUCCAAAAACCAGGACCAAUCAAGUUAGUUGUUGCUAAAUGUUGGGAUCCAAAUCCAAAAGGUUAUUUUACCAUACCAAGAACAGAACCGGUGCGUCCUAUAGAUCCGGGUGCAUGGGUGGCACAUACAGCAGCUAUACGAGGCGAAGGUUUCCCACCUCGUCCACCAAGUGCAACAACAUUAACAUCCACAUCGAGUAGUCUUGCUAGUACUCUACCAGAUACAGAACGACCACUAGAGGAACUUCACCUUACCAUUAAUACAGAUAUGCCAACAAUAGUACGUGCUAUGGCACGUCCAGAUUCGGGUCUAGAAAUUCGUGAUCGCAUGUGGCUUAAAAUAACAAUUCCGAAUGCAUUUAUUGGGGCAGAUGUUGUUGAUUGGCUUAGCGCACACGUAGAAGGAAUUAUUGAUCGUCGUGAAGCCAGAAAAUACGCAUCAUUGAUGCUAAAAGCUGGAUUCAUCAGACAUACUGUGAAUAAGAUCACGUUUUCUGAACAAUGUUAUUACAUAUUUGGUGAUUUGUGUUCUGCUAUGAGCAGCAUGAAAUUGGACUGUGACACGGUUGGACCUUUACCACCUCCUAAUGCUUGGGACAUGCCUUACUCAGGGACAUAUGCACCUCAUUCUGCGACUGGUUACAGUCCAAUGCCAUUUAAUUUUACUAACGAACCAACUGUAUAUGGAUAUCAUAGAGAAGAAAGUGUUCAUAGUGGUUCAGGUGGUAGCAGUGCAGGUAGUGAACAUAUUUGUAAGGAACCUAUCCACGACUUGAAGUCUUGUUCUUCAGCAUCUGAAUCGGAAUUACAUAUCCCAUCUGUGCCAAGUAUGCCAAGUAAGAAUUCUGGUAAUGGGAAUGGUUCGAAUGGUAAAAGGUCUAAUGGAAGCCAUAGUCGGUCCAGUGGGUCCGAGCAAUCGGUACAGACAGGAACUGGUUCAGGAACUCAACAAAAUCAACAAGACUUAUCUGGGUGACGUAUGCACGAAGAAUGUCGCACGCGGACAAGUAAUUUGGACAACAAUACCAGAGAUAAUAUUUAUGAAGAAGACAUUUUGGAGUACCAGUUUCUGCAUAAGUGAAGAUAUUUGUUAUAACGUAAUACGUAUACGCAAUGACAUUAAUAGACGUAAACAGGAAGUUAUGAUAUAAUUCUACGUCGUUUUAUUAAGUGGACGGAAGUAGCACACGCGAAACAUAUGUUUAUAUAUUUAAUAGGCCAAUUUUGAUAAAAUGCUGUAGAAGGUAAAAUGUCCAAGCUCAUGUAAUAACGGUUUAUAAUGUCUAUACAUAAUAGAGUUAAGGUCAUUGGAAUCUCUAUGUGACAAAUGUGUCCUUUUUUGAAAUGUUGUUACGGUUUGUGUUAAUUCAUACAAAGCAUUUGCAAUAC